AGAGUUUGAUCAUGGCUCAGACUGUACACUGGCGGCAUGCCUUACACAUGCAAGUCGAACGGCACCACGGGAGCUUGCUCCUGGUGGCGAGUGGCGAACGGGUGAGUAAUACAUCGGAACGUACCCAGUAGUGGGGGAUAACGCACCGAAAGGUGCGCUAAUACCGCAUACGACCUACGGGUGAAAGCGGGGGACCGUAAGGCCUCGCGCUAUUGGAGCGGCCGAUGUCUGAUUAGCUAGUUGGCGGGGUAAAAGCCCACCAAGGCGACGAUCAGUAGCUGGUCUGAGAGGACGAUCAGCCACACUGGGACUGAGACACGGCCCAGACUCCUACGGGAGGCAGCAGUGGGGAAUUUUGGACAAUGGGGGCAACCCUGAUCCAGCAAUGCCGCGUGUGCGAAGAAGGCCUUCGGGUUGUAAAGCACUUUUGUCAGGGAAGAAAUCUUUUGGGUGAAUACCCCGGAAGGAUGACGGUACCUGAAGAAUAAGCACCGGCUAACUACGUGCCAGCAGCCGCGGUAAUACGUAGGGUGCAAGCGUUAAUCGGAAUUACUGGGCGUAAAGCGUGCGCAGGCGGUUCGCUAAGACAGUCGUGAAAUCCCCGGGCUUAACCUGGGAACUGCGAUUGUGACUGGCGAGCUAGAGUACGGCAGAGGGGGGUGGAAUUCCUGGUGUAGCAGUGAAAUGCGUAGAGAUCAGGAGGAACACCGAUGGCGAAGGCAGCCC
Molecule: ribosomal RNA, 726 nt
Filed under: uncultured beta proteobacterium
Lineage: Bacteria; Pseudomonadati; Pseudomonadota; Betaproteobacteria
Description: bacterial SSU rRNA
Rfam family: Bacterial small subunit ribosomal RNA
Source: RNAcentral